CCCACCCACCACGGCAAAGAAAACCCCCCGAGCCAGCCGUAGGAAAAGAUUUUUUUUCCAUUUAAUACUAGACUCUCAGGAUUGAGAUGCAGGCUUUUUAUGCAAUUACAUCCAAUGUUAAAAUUGGUAAUACAUAAUUUACAAAGAUUAACAUCAAAACAAUGAUCUAUUUAGAUAUGCUUUGUAAAAAGGAAAUAUAUUAGCAGCAUUUAUUUUCAGCAAUCACACAGCCUACACCCAUGCAGACUAAGGUUCAGCUCUAUUUGCAGUAACGUAGUGCUUCCUGGCUCCGGCGGCGAUCCUGGGGACACAACGGGUCUGCUCAGUAUUAUAAAAUAACCGAAAAAUAAAAAAAGUCAUUAAUUUCUACACCAGUAAGAAAAAACAAGUUCUUUUGCACUUACCUAACAUUUGAUUGUCUAAAAAACAUUUCGUUUAGUCUUUCAACAAAAGAAAGAUAAAAUGACAGAGCUAGUGUCUCGCUUCUGUACGCACUUUAUUUUUUUUAAUUUUUUUUUUUAAAAACUUUUUUUAGUGUUUAACACCAUUGGAGACAAUGAUUUUUUUUUUUUUUUUUCUGUUUGAAACUAAAUGAGACAACUCGAGGGUCUGGACAUGCGAUAUUCCUACUACACGCACGAGUAUUUUAUACUCAGGGUUCCUGGUACUGUACAGUGCUUCUCUACAGUAAGAAAAUAUUCCAAACUAUUUUCUUAUUUCUUUUUUUUUUUUAAUAAAAUAUUUUUUUUUUCUCAAAGGGGUUUUUUUUUCCUUUCUUUUUUUUUUCCCUUUUUUUUGCUUUUUUUUUUGCCUUUUUUUUUUUUUUUUUUUUUUUUUCCUUCCCAACAGGUUUUUUUAAAUUUGCACAACACACGAGACACACGAGAAAACCACAGCUUAUCCAAAAAAGAACCAACAGCAACGGCGGCGUCAGGAUCCGACUCGCUUCUUAUAAAACUCCUCUGCAGAAAAAAAAGCGGGGGGGAAAAAAAAACCCAAAAGAACGAAAACAACCCCCAAAAAAACCCCUC
This 1031-nucleotide long non-coding RNA is filed under the name Manacus vitellinus (golden-collared manakin). RNAcentral's name for it is "lncRNA (ENSMVIG00005010768.1)". The record is from RNAcentral. Lineage: Eukaryota; Metazoa; Chordata; Aves; Passeriformes; Pipridae.